RNAcentral lists this ribosomal RNA (774 nucleotides) under uncultured Neocallimastigales. RNAcentral describes it as "partial large subunit ribosomal RNA". It matches the Rfam family "Eukaryotic large subunit ribosomal RNA", at positions 19 to 621 of the family's 3401-position model. The record is from RNAcentral. Lineage: Eukaryota; Fungi; Neocallimastigomycota; Neocallimastigomycetes; Neocallimastigales.
GAGCACGCGCGUGUGGCAUAUCAAUAAGCGGAGGAAAAGAAACUAACAAGGAUUCCCUUAGUAACGGCGAGUGAAGCGGGAAGAGCUCAAAUUUGAAAUCUUCAAGGUUCUACCUUGACGAAUUGUAGUUUAUAGAAGUGUUUUCUGUUAGUAGAGUGGCAAAAGUUCUUUGGAAUAGGACAUCAUAGGGGGUGAGAAUCCCGUAUUUGGUCAUUCUUUCUAGCUUUGUGAUACACUUUCAACGAGUCGGAUUGUUUGGGAAUGCAGUCCAAAAUGGGUGGUAAAUUUCAUCUAAAGCUAAAUAUUGGCGAGAGACCGAUAGCGAACAAGUACCGUGAGGGAAAGAUGAAAAGAACUUUGAAAAGAGAGUUAAACAGUACGUGAAAUUGUCAAAAGGGAAGCGUUUGACACCAGUGUUGUUUUUCCGAAAAUCAAUUACGAAUGUUUUGUUUUUAAGGAGUUAUGACUUCAUCGGCUUGCUUCUUUCUUUGCGAAACUUUCUUAAUGCACUUUUCGGUUAACAAGUCAGCAUCAAUUUCUUUUGUUGUAAAAGGGUAUGAGGAAGGUGGCUUUCUUUUCGGAGAAAGUGUUUAUAGCCUUGUGCCUCUACAAUCGGAGAGAUUGAGGUCUGCAGCGUAGAUCCUUCGGGGUUAGAUACGUUUGUGCUAAGUUAUAGCUUUUCAUAGACAACUUGUUGACUAUGUUUAGUCUUGUAGCUUACUCGCUUACGCUAUUUAUACCUACGCUUAGGAUGUUGAACUCUAUCACACACAG